This 76-nucleotide non-coding RNA is filed under the name Vibrio diazotrophicus. The record is from RNAcentral. Lineage: Bacteria; Pseudomonadati; Pseudomonadota; Gammaproteobacteria; Vibrionales; Vibrionaceae.
GGGAGCCGUAUGAGCUGAAAGGUUCACGUACGGUUCUGCGAGAGGCUAUCGGGGAGGUUCCGAUGGCCUACUCACC